UCAAGGACUAGAGAGAAGAAGUGUUUUUUAGAUCACCGUCAUUCUGUGACGGGGCAACAUCUACUGGAUCAAAAAGUCACACAUUCUUCCUUUAAGUUAGAGAAAUACAUUUUGAAAUUGCUUAGUAAACAGUAUAUUUUUAGAAUGUUUGCAGCAGCAUCCCUGUAUCCCUGUACGUCGAAGUGAAAUUGAAGUUUUAUGCAGAUAAAUAAUAGAUAUAAGAAUAGCUGUGAUGGUGGGAUCAUGCACAAUGAAGCUCAAAACAUCAAACAAGGCAACUAAAAGGUUAACACAUUUCUAAAGGACAUGAAAGUCAAGAAAAUAUUUAAAAAAUGUUCUUUCUAUUUUGUCGUUGUCUUUCAGUUUUGGAAUCGUCCUGUGGGAGGUGGCAACCCGCAAGAGACCUUUUGAUGGUUGGUCGAGUAAGGACAUUUAUCAAAAAGUGUGCAAAGACAAGUUUGUGGAGCCGCUCCCUGACGACUGUCCUGAACCACUGGGAAAUCUGAUCGACGCAUGUCGGGCCUACGACAGCUUUCUGAGACCGUCUGCUGGAGUGCUGGUGGAUAAACUACGCUGCGUGGUGGCGCAGUUAGAGGAGCAGUAAAACUGUCAGUGAGCGAUACUCAGGGUUUGUGAUCGUCCUCAGGAGGAGUCAUCGAGUCAUCACAUUGUGUGUUAUGUGCUGAAAAUCACACAAGAAGAGUUUACACGGCACUGAAGGCCAGAUAAGAUUGUGUUUAUGAUUACUUAUAGGUUCUCAAACCAAGGAUUAAUCUCGAAUAUGCAACAGUUUUUACAUGUUGAUCAAAACUAAUGCAAAGAAAAAGAUCUGGAUGUGCUUUGGUAGAUUGCUUCAGCCUGCAGCAUCAAACAGGCUGUAAUAAAAUGAAUCUGUAUGAAGUAC
Labrus bergylta (ballan wrasse) is the source of this 904-nucleotide non-coding RNA. The record is from RefSeq and is a predicted model, not a curated record. Lineage: Eukaryota; Metazoa; Chordata; Actinopteri; Labriformes; Labridae.